This 540-nucleotide ribosomal RNA is filed under the name Fusarium equiseti. RNAcentral's name for it is "eukaryotic LSU rRNA". The stretch from base 165 to 318 matches the Rfam family "5.8S ribosomal RNA". The record is from RNAcentral. Lineage: Eukaryota; Fungi; Ascomycota; Sordariomycetes; Hypocreales; Nectriaceae.
UGCGGAGGGAUCAUUACCGAGUUUACAACUCCCAAACCCCUGUGAACAUACCUAUACGUUGCCUCGGCGGAUCAGCCCGCGCCCCGUAAAACGGGACGGCCCGCCCGAGGACCCUAAACUCUGUUUUUAGUGGAACUUCUGAGUAAAACAAACAAAUAAAUCAAAACUUUCAACAACGGAUCUCUUGGUUCUGGCAUCGAUGAAGAACGCAGCAAAAUGCGAUAAGUAAUGUGAAUUGCAGAAUUCAGUGAAUCAUCGAAUCUUUGAACGCACAUUGCGCCCGCCAGUAUUCUGGCGGGCAUGCCUGUUCGAGCGUCAUUUCAACCCUCAAGCUCAGCUUGGUGUUGGGACUCGCGGUAACCCGCGUUCCCCAAAUCGAUUGGCGGUCACGUCGAGCUUCCAUAGCGUAGUAAUAAUACACCUCGUUACUGGUAAUCGUCGCGGCCACGCCGUAAAACCCCAACUUCUGAAUGUUGACCUCGGAUCAGGUAGGAAUACCCGCUGAACUUAAGCAUAUCAGUGCAGCUCAUACGUACCUAC